RNAcentral lists this ribosomal RNA (301 nucleotides) under uncultured bacterium. RNAcentral's name for it is "partial 16S ribosomal RNA". It matches the Rfam family "Bacterial small subunit ribosomal RNA", at positions 509 to 807 of the family's 1533-position model. The record is from RNAcentral.
CAGUCGCCGCGGUAAUACGUAGGGUGCAAGCGUUAAUCGGAAUUACUGGGCGUAAAGCGUGCGCAGGCGGUUUUGUAAGACAGGCGUGAAAUCCCCGGGCUCAACCUGGGAAUGGCGCUUGUGACUGCAAAGCUAGAGUGCGGCAGAGGGGGAUGGAAUUCCGCGUGUAGCAGUGAAAUGCGUAGAUAUGCGGAGGAACACCGAUGGCGAAGGCAAUCCCCUGGGCCUGCACUGACGCUCAUGCACGAAAGCGUGGGGAGCAAACAGGAUUAGAUACCCGCGUAGUCCCUGUCUCUUAUAC